Molecule: RNA transcript, 1477 nt
Organism: Carlito syrichta (Philippine tarsier)
Lineage: Eukaryota; Metazoa; Chordata; Mammalia; Primates; Tarsiidae
Gene name: hsc70-interacting protein-like
Exons: 4
Source: RefSeq, a predicted model, not a curated record
AUGGCCGUGUGGCUCACCGGCAGUGUGGUCUUGGGACCCCCUCAUCUGCGAUGUCUCGUGUGCAAAAUAGCAAUGAGACUCACCUGCUGUGGACAGGAGAUGACGGUGGACCACGUCCUUCUGCGUUGGGCCCAUUUUAUCCUGGACGCCAUUUUCAUCCUUCCAGAAACAAAAACCCAUUGCCCAAGGAACAGCAUCGUGUACUGUGGACCGUGUGACCAGCUUGUCAAAAUAAGUCAUAAUUUCCCCCUUCUACGCGAUCAUGCUGAGCCAGUGCCUGGGCCUGGCAUCUGUUCCAGCCUCCUUGGCGUCGCCCUCUGCCUCCUGACCUCGGACCGCUGCAAAGUUAGCGAGCUCCGAGCCUUCGUGAAAAGGUGUAAGCAGGAUCCGCACGCUCUGCACACCGAAGAAAUGCGCUUCCUGAGGGAGUGGGUGGUGAGCAGGGGAAGUACAGUACCCCCUGCUGCUCAGAAAGCUAAAUCAGAAGAAAAUAUCAAGGAAGAAAAACAGACAGUGAGAAGACGGAGGAACACAUAAAGACAGACGAGCCGUCAAGUGAGGAAAGUGAUCUAGAAAUUGACAGUGAAGGUGUGAUUGAACCAGACACUGAUGCCCCUCAAGAAAUGGGAGAUGAAAACCUGUCCCGUACCCCAACAGAGAUGUUGGAUGAGGAAAAUGAGAAGAAAGUGGGUGCCAUUGAAGCUCUCGGGGAUGGUGAGCUACAGAAAGCCAUUGACUUAUUCCCCCAUGCCAUGAAGUUGAGUCCUCGUUUUGGCCACUCUGUAUGCCCAAAGGGCCAGUGUCCUCACCAAACUGCAGGAGCCAAAUGCUGCCAUCCCAGACUGCGACUGAGCCAUUGGAAUAAAUACUGAUUCAGCUCAGCCUUACAAGUGGCAAGGGAAAGCACACAGGCUUCUGGGUCAAUGGGGAGAAGCAGCCCAUAAUCUUGCCCUUGCCUGUAAAUUGGAUUAUGAUGAAGACGCUGGUGCCAUGCUGAAGGAAGUUCAACCUAGGGCCCAGAGAGUUGCGGAACAUCAGAGAAAGUAUGAAGCCAAACGUGAAGAGCGAGAGAUCAAAGGCUAGAAAGUUUAAGAAGGCUUGGGAGAGCAUGAGAGGACCCAGAGGGAGGAAGAAGCCAGAUCACAGUGGGCAGUUGGGAGCUCAGUAUGGCUCUUUUGCAGGUGAUUUUCCUGGGGGAGUGCCUGGCAGUUUUCCUGGGGGAAUGUCUGGAAUGGGAGGAGGCAUGCCUGGAAUGGCAGGAAUGCCAAGACUCAAUGAAAUUCUUAGUGAUCCAGGGUUGUUGCAGCCAUGCGGGAUCCAGAAGUUAUGGCGGCCUUCCAGGAUGUGACCCGGAACCCAGCAAAUAUGUCAAAAUACCAGAGCAACCCAAAGGUUACGAAUCUCAUCAGUAAACUGUCAGCCAAGUUUGGAGGUCAAGCAUAAUGCCCUUCUGAUAAAAAGCCCUUGCUGAAGGAAA